UACGUAGGGUGCAAGCGUUGUCCGGAAUUAUUGGGCGUAAAGAGCUCGUAGGCGGUCUGUCGCGUCUGCUGUGAAAACCUAGGGCUUAACUCUGGGCGUGCAGUGGGUACGGGCAGGCUAGAGUGCGGUAGGGGAGACUGGAACUCCUGGUGUAGCGGUGAAAUGCGCAGAUAUCAGGAGGAACACCGGUGGCGAAGGCGGGUCUCUGGGCCGUAACUGACGCUGAGGAGCGAAAGCAUGGGGAGCGAACAGG
Molecule: ribosomal RNA, 253 nt
Filed under: uncultured bacterium
Lineage: Bacteria
Description: partial 16S ribosomal RNA
Rfam family: Bacterial small subunit ribosomal RNA
Source: RNAcentral